RNAcentral lists this ribosomal RNA (501 nucleotides) under uncultured bacterium. Its description in RNAcentral is "bacterial SSU rRNA". It matches the Rfam family "Bacterial small subunit ribosomal RNA", at positions 8 to 502 of the family's 1533-position model. The record is from RNAcentral.
AGAGUUUGAUCCUGGCUCAGAACGAACGCUGGCGGCGUGCUUAACACAUGCAAGUCGAACGCGAACGGUUUCUUCGGAAACCUAGUAGAGUGGCGCACGGGUGAGUAACGCGUAAGUUAUCUACCCUCCCAUCUGGAAUAACUCACCGAAAGGUGUGCUAAUACCGGAUACGUUGGAAACAAGAAAGGUGGCCUCUAUUUAUAAGCUACCGUGGGGGGAUGAGCUUGCGUACCAUUAGCUAGUUGGUAGGGUAAUGGCCUACCAAGGCAACGAUGGUUAGCGGGUCUGAGAGGAUGAUCCGCCACACUGGAACUGGAACACGGACCAGACUCCUACGGGAGGCAGCAGUGAGGAAUAUUGCGCAAUGGGGGAAACCCUGACGCAGCGACGCCGCGUGGAUGAUGAAGGCCUUUGGGUCGUAAAAUCCUGUCAGAUGGAAAGAAAUGCUAUUGGUUUAAUACGCCUUUAGUUUGACGUACCAUCAAAGAAGCACCGCUAACU